AUUACUAGAUGGACACUCUAAAAAGAAGAGAGAAAUUCUAGAAAUUCUUAUAAAAAAGCAAAACAUCUGGCCAUCAAUUGGUAGACUCAAAUCAUUCGUAGCCAUUGAAUCUAUUGUGUUUUCUAAAAAAUUACCCACCAAUGCCAUUAUAAAAAUAGCCUAAAGUAACCCCCUAAAUCUAUAUCUAAAUUACUAACCUCUGCCAUUAUAUAAAAUUAACUAAAG
RNAcentral lists this long non-coding RNA (225 nucleotides) under Setaria viridis. Its description in RNAcentral is "long non-coding RNA (SVIR_LNC006175)". The record is from RNAcentral. Lineage: Eukaryota; Viridiplantae; Streptophyta; Magnoliopsida; Poales; Poaceae.